Molecule: long non-coding RNA, 411 nt
Organism: Drosophila montana
Lineage: Eukaryota; Metazoa; Arthropoda; Insecta; Diptera; Drosophilidae
Exons: 2
Source: RefSeq, a predicted model, not a curated record
UGUGCAACACUGUCAAACGGAGACAGCUCUAAGCUAAAUUAAUUUAAUACCGACAUUUUUUGUUUAAAUUCGACCAGUUUAAUAUUAUUUAGAAAUAGAAUUGAUCUCUGUGUGCAUUUAAAAUUCAUUUUAUAAAUAAAAAGAAGUCGAUAUGAUGUUUCUAACACCAUUGCUUGCUGAUUAAGCAAUACUAUCGGAACUAUCGGUUCAAACAUUAACGAUAUGCAGUACCCAUCGAUAUUUCUCCAGACCAAAAUUACUGCUGACGCAUUUAAAUUCAAUGUGUUAGUUGCUUGCAAAUUAAUUUACCAACAUAGCAAUUUUUACAAGAUGUUUAAUCUUAUCUCUGUAAACAAAGUGUUAAGUGAAUGUUAACUAACAGCUGAAUUAAAUAACAUCUCUGUUUUGGCA